Molecule: ribosomal RNA, 483 nt
Filed under: Orthotylini gen. sp. 5 MC-2016
Lineage: Eukaryota; Metazoa; Arthropoda; Insecta; Hemiptera; Miridae
Description: partial 16S ribosomal RNA
Rfam family: Bacterial large subunit ribosomal RNA
Source: RNAcentral
UCUGACCUGCCCAAUGACUAUGUUUAAUGGCUGCAGUAUUUUGACUGUACAAAGGUAGCAUAAUCAUUUGUCUUUUAAUUGAAGUCUAGAAUGAAUGGUUUGAUGAAAAAUAUAUUUUCUUUAUUUUAAAAGGAAAACUUAAUCUUUUAGUUAAAAAGCUAAAAUUUAUUUGUAGGACGAGAAGACCCUAUAGAACUUUAUUUUUGAGUUUUUAUAUUUAAUAUAGGAUAUAUUUUGUGUAUAAAAAUAUUAAAUUUUGUUGGGGUGACAGAAAAAAUUUAAUAACUUUUUCUAUUUUUUUCAUUUUAAUUGUAUUGUUGAUCCUUUUUUAUGGAUGUAAGAUUAAGUUACCUUAGGGAUAACAGCGUUAUUAUUUUAGAGAGUUCAUAUCGAUAAAAUAGUUUGCGACCUCGAUGUUGGAUUAUAAUUAGAUAUAGGAGUAGAAUAUUAUAUUCUGGGUCUGUUCGACCCUUAAAUUUUUAC